CCCAGACUCCUACGGGAGGCAGCAGUGGGGGAUAUUGCACAAUGGGGGGAACCCUGAUGCAGCGACGCCGCGUGGGUGAAGGAGCGUUUCGGCGCGUAAAGCCCUCUCGGCAGGGAAGAAGGAGGACGGUACCUGACUAAGAAGCCCCGGCUAACUACGUGCCAGCAGCCGCGGUAAUGCGUAGGGGGCAAGCGUUAUCCGGAUUUACUGGGUGUAAAGGGGGCGCAGACGGCAGCGCAAGCCAGGAGUGAAAGCCCGGGGCCCAACCCCGGGACUGCUCUUGGAACUGCGCGGCUGGAGUGCAGGAGGGGCAGGCGGAAUUCCUGGUGUAGCGGUGAAAUGCGUAGAUAUCAGGAGGAACACCGGUGGCGAAGGCAGCCUGCUGGACUGCGACUGACGUUGAGGCCCGAAAGCGUGGGGAGCAAACAGGAUUAGAUACCCGCGUAAU
Molecule: ribosomal RNA, 448 nt
Filed under: uncultured bacterium
Lineage: Bacteria
Description: partial 16S ribosomal RNA
Rfam family: Bacterial small subunit ribosomal RNA
Source: RNAcentral